CGGGGGGUAGCUGGGGCCGC
This 20-nucleotide microRNA is filed under the name Bovine alphaherpesvirus 5. Its description in RNAcentral is "bhv5-miR-B14". Its record names the gene bhv5-miR-B14. Lineage: Duplodnaviria; Heunggongvirae; Peploviricota; Herviviricetes; Herpesvirales; Orthoherpesviridae. The record is from miRBase by way of RNAcentral.